RNAcentral lists this ribosomal RNA (222 nucleotides) under Escherichia coli. Its description in RNAcentral is "partial 16S ribosomal RNA". It matches the Rfam family "Bacterial small subunit ribosomal RNA", at positions 1 to 219 of the family's 1533-position model. The record is from RNAcentral. Lineage: Bacteria; Pseudomonadati; Pseudomonadota; Gammaproteobacteria; Enterobacterales; Enterobacteriaceae.
AAAUUGAAGAGUUUGAUCAUGGCUCAGAUUGAACGCUGGCGGCAGGCCUAACACAUGCAAGUCGAACGGUAACAGGAAGCAGCUUGCUGCUUUGCUGACGAGUGGCGGACGGGUGAGUAAUGUCUGGGAAACUGCCUGAUGGAGGGGGAUAACUACUGGAAACGGUAGCUAAUACCGCAUAACGUCGCAAGACCAAAGAGGGGGACCUUCGGGCCUCUUGCC